This 402-nucleotide ribosomal RNA is filed under the name uncultured bacterium. RNAcentral's name for it is "bacterial SSU rRNA". It matches the Rfam family "Bacterial small subunit ribosomal RNA", at positions 355 to 774 of the family's 1533-position model. The record is from RNAcentral.
UAGGGAAUAUUGGUAAUGUGCGAAAGCGCGAACCAGCAACGCCGCGUGCACGAUGAAGGCCUUCGGGUCGUAAAGUGCUUUUAGAGAGGAUGAGGAAGGACAGUACUUUCUGAAUAAGCCUCGGCUAACUACGUGCCAGCAGCCGCGGUAAAACGUAGGAGGCUAGCGUUAUCCGGAUUUACUGGGCGUAAAGCGCAUGCAGGUGGUUUUGUAAGUUGGAUGUGAAAGCUCCUGGCUUAACUGGGAGAGGUCGUUCAAAACUACAAGACUUGAGAUUGGUAGAGGAUAAUGGAAUUCCCGGUGUAGUGGUGAAAUGCGUAGAUAUCCGGAGGAACACCAGUGGCGAAAGCGGUUUUCUGGACCAAUUCUGACACUCAGAUGCGAAAGCUAAGGUAGCAAACG